Osmia lignaria (orchard mason bee) is the source of this 2337-nucleotide RNA transcript. RefSeq lists it as uncharacterized. The record is from RefSeq and is a predicted model, not a curated record. Lineage: Eukaryota; Metazoa; Arthropoda; Insecta; Hymenoptera; Megachilidae.
CAUGUGAACAACGUGUGAAACAUUCUAGUAGCAUAAGUUGCGCGUUUCAGCGAUGGAGAAGAAAUUUGUAGAGCAGAAAGAAUAUUUAAAGAAAUACUUGUCCUCCGGAGAUGGCGACGAUAAAAAGAAGAAAAAGAAGAAGAAGAUGAAACUAGGAACUAAAACAGUUAAAAUCGUUGAUGAUGACAUAGACCUGAAGAACAUGAGACCUAUGGAAGAAAAUGAAUUUGAUAUCUUCGUGGAUGCAGAAGAUGCACCUCAAAUUGCUGGUGUAGUAGAUGAACGUGGACCAGUUGACUUCUCAGAUAAAAGGAGAUGGAAAAUUGUAGCAGAUGACGAAGGUGGAGACUUGACCGUCACCAGUUCUAACAAAGAAAACAAACAAUCUAAAAAAGUAAAGAACCAUGAUUUAUCUCCACCAAGAAAACAAAAGAAACAUUUAGAUAAUGAUUUAUCUCCUCCAAGAGUAUCCAAAAAGAACAAAGCAGAUGCAGAUAGUGAUUUAAGUCCACCUAGAAGGAAGUCUAAGAAACAUGCGCACAAAGCUUCGCAAAGUAAUAGUGACAGUGAUAAUAGUUCAACAGACAUUCCAACUGGUAAAAUUAAAAAGAAGACAAGGAGGAAAGAGAGAUCUGAUUCUGAUUUGAGUCCACCAAGAAAGAGUAAAAAGAUUAUAAAACAUAGAGAUAAAAAUGAUUCAGAUUUAAGUCCUCCUAGAAGAAAUAGGAAAGAUUCUGAUUCAGAUUUAACCCCUCCUAGGAGAAGUAGGAAGUACUCUGAUUCAGAUUUAAAUCCACCAAAAAAUAAGAAACAUAAAAACCAUGACUCUGAUCUGAGUCCUCCAAGGCAGAAUAAAAAGCAUAAAAAUUCACAUUCUGGACAUAAUGAUUUCAGUCCACAGAGGGAACAUAAGCAUAGAGGUUCACACAAAGAUAAAAAUUAUAAACAUUCUGAUAAGAGUUCCAAGCCAUAUAGGAGAUAUUAUGAUUCAGAUAUGAGCCCACCUCGAAGAAAGAACAGAGAUAUAAGCCCUAGCAGAGAUGGCAAUGAUUUCCAUAAGUCUAAAAGGAAUAGAUCGGAUGAUAAAUAUAAACGCGAUUCUCACACAGAGAAUUCUUAUAGAAAGGAAAAGUCGAGGCAUAGAGAUACUGACUAUGCGGAUAAUGAAAGACGAAUGAAGAAGACAUUAGAUGGAAAGACAGCAGGAUUGCAAAAUGCCAGGGCGUUAAGAGAAGAAACAGAGGCGCAUAAAAAACGAGAAGCUGAACACUUCAACAAGCUUAGCAAAGAAGUUACCGGGGUCGGUCAAGCAGUGGUUCUACGCGAUUCAAAAACUGGAAGAAAACGUAACUUAGAAGCUGAAGCGGCCGAGGAACGUGAGAAACAAAAGCGACAAUCAGAAUUGAAUGAAAAAUAUGCUAAAUGGGGAGCAGGUUUGAAACAGGUAGAGGAUCGUGAAGAGAAAUUAAAAGAUGAUCUCUAUGAAAUGAGUAAACCAUUAGCAAGGUAUGCCGAUGACGCUGAUUUAGAUAAAAGACUCCGAGAACAGGAGAGAGAAGGUGAUCCCAUGUUGGAAUAUAUCAAACAGAAGCAAAUAAAGGAAGGCAAGAGGAAACCAGACCGACCAUCGUACCAAGGAUCAUAUAUGCCAAAUCGUUUUGGUAUUAAACCGGGUCACAGAUGGGACGGGGUGGAUAGAAGUAAUGGAUACGAAAAACGAUGGUUCGAGGCUCAAAACGCGAAGGUAGCUCGUCAAGAAGAAGCUUACAAAUGGAGCACUUCGGACAUGUAAAAUAAAAAAAACGAGACGAGUACGAAAGCUGGCGCCUGUCUGCCACCAGUCUGCUCGUUGCAAGCAAGUUUGUGAAAUCAAUGAGAGCUAAAAGUACACACCAGAGUUGGGAGUGGCGAAUUGCAUUGAGAGCCUAAAUAAAUUAAAGCGGCUGGGACGCUUGUUCCUUCAAGCAGAUUCUCAAGUAAAGUCUCCGCGCGACCGUAGAUGCGUACGCACAAUCGAAUCGCAAAUAUAUAUCGACUCGCGUAGUCGAGACGCAAGGGCAGGGUCGACGGCUGUGUCAGUACGCCUCGCGACACCGACGGGAUACCUGUGUUCUUCGUCUCGUGUAGGUUAGGGUUUAGUGUUCGCCGGUUGUAGCUUUUGUACGCUCUUUUAAUACCGUAGAUUACCUUCGUCGGCCAAAUAAGAAUUAAAGAAUCUACCUAUACGUCCAGUUUGACCAACCGCACAAAAUAAUUGUAUAUUUCCCCCCUGAGUAACGUAAGCCGGUACCACGCCGUGUCGUUCACCUCCAGUCAAAAUUACUUUUUUUUUUUUAA